CUUAACUCCACUGAGGAGCGAUAUAAAUAGAUCUUAAAGAAAAUACCACUCCGCAGCGACCCCAGAUGGAAGCAAUCUGCUCUUAUACAGAAGAAUGAAGAAAUCAGGAUUGCCUGUCAGAGGAGGCAGGUGACAUUGACAGACAGUGAAACGAUACUGACUUCAUGCAGAUUAAUUCUAAAUAUACUGAGGGUAUCCAGUAUGAUCAGUAAUAUGAAGUCCUGGACCUGCAAGACUGAAUGCAACAGCAUGGAGGACAUGGUUAUUUUCAAGAAUGAAGAGGUGCUAGUCACAGUGUGUUUGGAUCAUUUGACAUCCAGCAUAGUAUUUGGCUAACUGUUCAGUUCCUCUGUCAAGAUCAGUCCACUACACAAAGCGUUGGACAAAUAAUUUCAUUUUUGCUGUUUAUGGGUGCCAUCUUUAAGUGACAAUUGGAAUGUAGCUUGUCUGGAAUUACUACACUGGAGCCACAUAGUAAAUGUUCUUCACAUAUGGACAGCUGUCAUCUGUAGCAGCAAAGUUAAAGUACAAGUUACCACCCUAGACUAAACUUUUAUAAUUAACUAAUAUACAUGCAGUAGUACUGAAUCACUCCUGGUUUCUGUUUAUCUAGUAGCAUUUCAUCAUGGGUAACUGUGCAGUACACAUCUACUGAAUACAAGAGUUUUGAUUUCACAACAUUUUAUAAGGCAGUUUUAACCGUUCAUCAACAUUACCACAUUGUUUUGAUUCUUUAUAUUUGUUAUUGUUUGUAUCUUCGAAACAAAGACUGGUGUUGCAAAUUGUCUGCAGUUAUUAAAGAUGCUCUUUCUCUUAGGAUAAAAAUGUUAGUAGCAAGUCAUGACCUAUACCUAGCAAAACCUUUCCACCAUAUAGAUAUUGGUUACUUUCAUCUUUACUGAUAAACCAGAAGCAAUGCUGUGGUUGUAUCUGUGUACCACAAUGGAGUCUGCCCAAUACAACAUUGCUAGUUCCAUAAGAAAAAGCAUUGGUAAUAAGCAAAAAUGUUGUUAAUUAUUUUGGCUCAUUGAAGGUGUGUUAGUAGUUCUAUAUGGAUUCCCAUUUAGAUUCAUCCUGUACCAGUGACUUCAUUUUUAGUUGCAGUAGUGCUGAGAGGUUCUGUCAAAACACAUGGCAGUAGUUUACCAGUCUUAAAAUGUUCACAACUGCAACAUGUUCUGAAUCCCAGGGGCCUGUAGCAUAGCCUCUGCACUGUCUUGUGACCUGAGCAGUCCAUUUUUGUCAAAUGCAUGCUUUCAAGAAGAGAGUUAUCUUCAGGAAAAAAAAAACACACUUUCCUCACCCUAGACUUGUAUUCUUCUGGCCUGUCUGGGACCCUUCAUGUGUUACUCAUUUGCUCUCUGUCAUGCUGUACCAUCACCAGGAUAUGUUUAUGGUAGCAUUGCAGUUUAGGAAUUCCUUGCAGUAUUUGGUAAUUUGCUUGCUUUUAAACAGAAGAUAAAUGUACUGUUCUAAAAUCAUUUGGUUAUACUGCAAUAAACAUUUCUGUAUAUUAA
Long non-coding RNA from Protopterus annectens (West African lungfish), 1517 nucleotides. RefSeq lists it as uncharacterized. The transcript has 3 exons. The record is from RefSeq and is a predicted model, not a curated record. Lineage: Eukaryota; Metazoa; Chordata; Ceratodontiformes; Protopteridae.